This is a long non-coding RNA of Eleginops maclovinus (Patagonian blennie), 737 nucleotides long. RefSeq lists it as uncharacterized. NCBI's taxonomy places the organism in Eukaryota, Metazoa, Chordata, Actinopteri, Perciformes, Eleginopidae. The record is from RefSeq and is a predicted model, not a curated record. The transcript is spliced from 2 exons.
CAGCGUCGGUGUACUAUAUCCUCAGAAUGCGCCUAACUUAAACCAUGCACAGUGAUUUAUUUUAGAGAAAAAACAAUUUUGAUGUUCGGAUAGAUGGUUUGUGGUGUCCUGUUGGCGAACACGAAAUGUUCUUUUCAUUUAAAAUGUAUCCAAAAGAAAACUUGGGAAUGUUGCCAGUUCCACUGUGCGUGUGACAGCGGCUAACCUGGUUUUGGGAAUUCUUCAUAUUUUUGGCUCGCCCAAGUCCAGCCACCACCGGACCAGACAAACACCUACAGUAGAUCUACAGGCAGCCCUUUAUCAUGUCCCAAUGCUCACUGCUGGGACAUGACUGCUCAUUAUGCCUGCCCUCCCAGUGGUGUCCAUGUGUACUGUAGCCUACUUCCUCCUAUGUUCACAUACUGUUCCUUAUUUAGGGCCAGUGGCUUUUUUUGCUCCUAUAGGGCAGACCUCUCUAAUGCCAUACUGUCAAGACUCUCGGUGAGUGUUUUAUUGCAGUUUCUGUUUCAUCUGUGUGGCUCAGACAUGAUAAUGAUACUGAUUCCUAAUUUGAACUGCCCUCUAUGGCUUCUUAGAGAGGUUCCCUGGGGGUCCUCCCGCAGAAAAUAAACAUUACUAUAAAGCCGAUUUUCAGUUAUUUACACGUUUGUUCCAAGUAAGAAUAUCUGUAUCUGUAUAACAUGUGGUUUUGUAAAAUGUAUUCUUAAAGUGAAAAGUAAAGUUUCUACUCCAACCAA